CACGUCCCGCCUCCCGCCAUCCUGAGGGUGGGGGGCAGAGGGAAGGGUCUCGGAUGGGCAGCGAGAGGUACCAGUGUGCCUUGCCAGCACAGGACUGCCCCCUCCUGGUCAGUCAGAGCCCCGGGGCCUGAGAGGCUCAGUCUCCCACGGGGGACAUUGGCCUCGCCCUUUCUCUGCCUCCAGCUCCCAUGGCGGCUGCAGAUGGCAGUGUCUUUGGGGACAGCAGCUGCGACUGAGUCUGCAGGCCGACGCUGAGCUGCUCAGGCUGAGGUGGUGCGCUCAGCACAGAGCCCCCGGAACAGGCAUCUGCAGGGCAUGAGCUGAGGCCGCCGCCAUGCCGCACUUCCUGGACUGGUUCGUGCCCGUCUACCUGGUCAUCUCGGUGCUCAUCCUGGUGGGCUUCGGCGCCUGCAUCUACUACUUCGAGCCUGGCCUGCAGGAGGCGCACAAGUGGCGCAUGCAGCGCCCCCUGGUGGAUCGUGACCUCCGCAAGACUCUGAUGGUCCGCGACAACUUGGCCUUCGGAGGGCCAGAGGUCUGAGCGGACUCGCGCCGGUGGCCGCUGGCGGCCACCGGGCGCCCUCCCCCGCUUCGCCCAGCUUGGACACCCUGGGGCAGAGAAAGGACAACCCCUGGUCCUCCAGGCCAUCCCUCUGUUGCCUGGGCCCUCCCAGCAGAGGCUUCCGGGAGCUCGGGGUGGACCCUGGCUGCACCUGUUGAGAUGGGGCACCUGGGUACCUUAAGGUGUCACUGCUGCUGGCCCAGGGCUUGCUUUCCACAUCAAGCCAGUUCACCCCACACCUGCCCUCCCCAGCUCUGGGCUUAAUCCCCCACUGACCCCCAGUGCCUUUGUGCUGCCCAGCACUCUUGCCCCUCACCUGGGGUCAGGCACCACUGCCCCUGCCUGUCCUGAACCUAGAGAGUCCCACUUCCCCACUGAAUCCCUGGUGACGCUCAGCGGCCCCCGCCACCCAAGGCACCCACCCUGCAGCUUCACAUGGCCGACUUCAAAGCAGACCCAAGGAAAAGGCCCUAUUUGGAGGGCCUUUGGUCUCUGCUUGGUCCAGCCCCGCCCCACCCCUCUGGACUCAGGCUUGGCAUUGAUGAGAGUGUGCGAUGGGGUGGCAGAGGGGUAAGACCACAGAGGAAGGAGGGUGUGUGUAUGUGUGUGUGUGAGAGAGAGAGUGUCUGGGGGAAGAGGAGAAGCAUGUGGGGAGGGGGAGAUGCAGGUCUGUAUGUGUGAGAGGCAGAGUGGGAGGUGGUGGGGAUAGGGCGAGCUUGUGAGUAGCCCCGGGGACCACCUGGAGCACUUCCUACCUCCCUCCUUCUACCAGACUUUUCUAUCUCUCCCCUUCCCCAAGGCCCCUGCCCUCCAGUCCCUCCCUGCCCUGUAUUGCACCUUCAGGUACUGCACACCCCCAGCACCCCCUUCCCACCCUCCUAGCCCCACCAGGGAGCCCUCCUCCUGUGUGAUUGGCAGCCUGUCUCACUCUCCUCCUCUGGAGCUCCCCUCUUAGUGUCUUGCAAUAAUAAAGACUUCAUGACCGUU
This is a non-coding RNA of Leptonychotes weddellii (Weddell seal), 1549 nucleotides long. NCBI's taxonomy places the organism in Eukaryota, Metazoa, Chordata, Mammalia, Carnivora, Phocidae. The record is from RefSeq and is a predicted model, not a curated record.